This 737-nucleotide unclassified non-coding RNA is filed under the name Bombus terrestris (buff-tailed bumblebee). RNAcentral describes it as "misc RNA ENSBTSG00005022043.1". The record is from RNAcentral. Lineage: Eukaryota; Metazoa; Arthropoda; Insecta; Hymenoptera; Apidae.
UUCUACGAACUCGCAUCCAAUUGAUAAAACCACGAUCUGUUUCUUUUUUCAAAUAAUUUCAGUGGCUUCAUAGUAAAAGACGGUUCAUAGUAAAAGAAACGAUAUUUUUGAGCGACAUAUGGUUUGUUCGAAAAAAAAAGUCGUGAAAUUAGGCCGAGGAUAUCGUGGCUGGGACGCAGACUAAAAGUACGGAAAAUCCAAUCGGUGAUUACCGCACGAUCUAUGGUAGAGCUAAAUUGCCUUUUAGAAUUAGCCUCGAUCCAUCGAGGAUUCGCGUAAUUCUCGGCAUAAAUAGUAUUUACAAUUUUAAAUUCAUUUAUUUCAAAUACUAUUUGAUCGCUCGUCAAACAUGCUUACGUUUACACGCAUCGUUCCAUGGCAUUUUAGUCUUUUGUUUUACGCAGUUGCACGUGGUAGCGGGUAAAAAGAAGCGUGGAAGAAGGUAUACGAUAUAAAUACAGUGAUAAUCUCACGUGGGUAUUCCUGCCGUCUCGCGAAAAAGUUCUUUUUUUGCUACCGCUUGUAUUCUUCCUUGCACUUAUACAAACACGCAUAUCUACGCUUAAUUUAUUCAUUUAUUCGCUUCCUGUUCGUAUAGAAUUAUAUAGCUAUCGUUUAAUAUCAUCGUUAUCAUCGUAAAUAUUAUGUACAAAGGAGAACUUUCACGUGCUUGCAUGGAGAUUCUGCUCUGCCGAUGGUUUUCUCGCGAUUAUCGAGAUUCCUCCUCGGAGAAAUAC